AGUGAACGCUGGCGGUAGGCCUAACACAUGCAAGUCGAACGGCAGCACAGUAAGAGCUUGCCCUUACGGGUGGCGAGUGGCGGACGGGUGAGGAAUACAUCGGAAUCUACUUUUUCGUGGGGGAUAACGUAGGGAAACUUACGCUAAUACCGCAUACGACCUACGGGUGAAAGCAGGGGAUCUUCGGACCUUGCGCGAUUGAAUGAGCCGAUGUCGGAUUAGCUAGUUGGCGGGGUAAAGGCCCACCAAGGCGACGAUCCGUAGCUGGUCUGAGAGGAUGAUCAGCCACACUGGAACUGAGACACGGUCCAGACUCCUACGGGAGGCAGCAGUGGGGAAUAUUGGACAAUGGGCGCAAGCCUGAUCCAGCCAUACCGCGUGGGUGAAGAAGGCCUUCGGGUUGUAAAGCCCUUUUGUUGGGAAAGAAAAGCAGCAGGUUAAUACCCCGCUGUUCUGACGGUACCCAAAGAAUAAGCGCCGGCUAACUUCGUG
Molecule: ribosomal RNA, 492 nt
Filed under: uncultured bacterium
Lineage: Bacteria
Description: partial 16S ribosomal RNA
Rfam family: Bacterial small subunit ribosomal RNA
Source: RNAcentral